Molecule: ribosomal RNA, 1530 nt
Filed under: Escherichia coli KTE14
Lineage: Bacteria; Pseudomonadati; Pseudomonadota; Gammaproteobacteria; Enterobacterales; Enterobacteriaceae
Description: bacterial SSU rRNA
Rfam family: Bacterial small subunit ribosomal RNA
Source: RNAcentral
AGAGUUUGAUCAUGGCUCAGAUUGAACGCUGGCGGCAGGCCUAACACAUGCAAGUCGAACGGUAACAGGAAACAGCUUGCUGUUUCGCUGACGAGUGGCGGACGGGGGAGUAAUGUCUGGGAAACUGCCUGAUGGAGGGGGAUAACUACUGGAAACGGUAGCUAAUACCGCAUAACGUCGCAAGACCAAAGAGGGGGACCUUCGGGCCUCUUGCCAUCGGAUGUGCCCAGAUGGGAUUAGCUAGUAGGUGGGGUAACGGCUCACCUAGGCGACGAUCCCUAGCUGGUCUGAGAGGAUGACCAGCCACACUGGAACUGAGACACGGUCCAGACUCCUACGGGAGGCAGCAGUGGGGAAUAUUGCACAAUGGGCGCAAGCCUGAUGCAGCCAUGCCGCGUGUAUGAAGAAGGCCUUCGGGUUGUAAAGUACUUUCAGCGGGGAGGAAGGGAGUAAAGUUAAUACCUUUGCUCAUUGACGUUACCCGCAGAAGAAGCACCGGCUAACUCCGUGCCAGCAGCCGCGGUAAUACGGAGGGUGCAAGCGUUAAUCGGAAUUACUGGGCGUAAAGCGCACGCAGGCGGUUUGUUAAGUCAGAUGUGAAAUCCCCGGGCUCAACCUGGGAACUGCAUCUGAUACUGGCAAGCUUGAGUCUCGUAGAGGGGGGUAGAAUUCCAGGUGUAGCGGUGAAAUGCGUAGAGAUCUGGAGGAAUACCGGUGGCGAAGGCGGCCCCCUGGACGAAGACUGACGCUCAGGUGCGAAAGCGUGGGGAGCAAACAGGAUUAGAUACCCUGGUAGUCCACGCCGUAAACGAUGUCGACUUGGAGGUUGUGCCCUUGAGGCGUGGCUUCCGGAGCUAACGCGUUAAGUCGACCGCCUGGGGAGUACGGCCGCAAGGUUAAAACUCAAAUGAAUUGACGGGGGCCCGCACAAGCGGUGGAGCAUGUGGUUUAAUUCGAUGCAACGCGAAGAACCUUACCUGGUCUUGACAUCCACGGAAGUUUUCAGAGAUGAGAAUGUGCCUUCGGGAACCGUGAGACAGGUGCUGCAUGGCUGUCGUCAGCUCGUGUUGUGAAAUGUUGGGUUAAGUCCCGCAACGAGCGCAACCCUUAUCCUUUGUUGCCAGCGGUCCGGCCGGGAACUCAAAGGAGACUGCCAGUGAUAAACUGGAGGAAGGUGGGGAUGACGUCAAGUCAUCAUGGCCCUUACGACCAGGGCUACACACGUGCUACAAUGGCGCAUACAAAGAGAAGCGACCUCGCGAGAGCAAGCGGACCUCAUAAAGUGCGUCGUAGUCCGGAUUGGAGUCUGCAACUCGACUCCAUGAAGUCGGAAUCGCUAGUAAUCGUGGAUCAGAAUGCCACGGUGAAUACGUUCCCGGGCCUUGUACACACCGCCCGUCACACCAUGGGAGUGGGUUGCAAAAGAAGUAGGUAGCUUAACCUUCGGGAGGGCGCUUACCACUUUGUGAUUCAUGACUGGGGUGAAGUCGUAACAAGGUAACCGUAGGGGAACCUGCGGUUGGAUCACCU